UUAAUAAUAUAACAUCCAACAUGUACUCAACCAGAAAAAGGAGAUAGGAAGCAUCUCUGUUUCUGGUCAUGUUAUAACAAAUUUGGUAAUAGCAUAUAGAUGAUCAGAAACAGAGGCUAUCUUGCUCAACCUUGGUAAAUCCUUGCACUCCAAAUACCCUUGAAUGGUCAAAUUAUUAGCAACCACCAUUUCGUAAAAAACCUCUUCCAUUUUGUGACACUCACUUCACAUAGUACACUAAUAAGGAAAAACAAAAACUUUCAGGUUGAGUAUGACUCAGAAAUAAGAAAAAAAAUUGCUGCUCUUGACCUUUUCAUAAUUUUCAUGCAUGACAAUAAUUAUCCGACACUUAGAAAAACUGGGUAUAAGUGCAUAUUGGUAUACCAGAAAGCUGAAUUUCAAAAUGAGAGAAAAUAGGUUCGAACAGAUACAACAAAGCUAAUCUGCUUAUACAACUUAAAAACUUAUGUUUAGUGCUAAUCCUACACAGUUUCUCGUAAAAAGGAAAAACAACUGACACAGGGUAUGAAAUUAAUUGAAGUACCAAUAACUCUGUAUACACCAAGACCUUUUGCAUCUGCUGAUGAAGUGUUGAGUGUUAAGACAUCAGUUAACAUUUACGCAUUCAGAAGCCUUUGAGCGAUCUCGUAGUUUGCUUAGAAUGAGAUCAUCAUUGCUUGAUAAAUGUACUACCAAUUCAGUGGUGGUAUCAUCAGCAGAGAAUCCCUUAUCAACCAUUUUAUUGAUAAGUUCUGAUGCUUUUGGUAAAUCGUCAUGCCUGAGAAACCCUUGAAUGAUGACAUUAUAACAACAAUCAUUCGGUAAACAUCCACCCCUUUCCAUGUCUCUAAAAAUAUUAUAUGCUUCGUCCAUUAAUCCUUCUUGGUAAAGUCCUUCCAUAAUUGCACUAUAUAUAUAAACAUUAAGUUGUAAGCCAUUUUCAGAAAGACUAGAAAAUAGUUUCCUGGCAUCAUUAAUAUUCCCAGCUUUGCACAUACCAUUGAUCAAAAUGCUAUAGAUAACAAGAUUAGGCCUCAAUUGACUUUUCUCCAUUUUUGUCAAUAGUGCGAGUGCCUCAUCAUGAUUCCCCUUUCUACAUAAGCCAUAGAUCAUAAUAGAGAAGGUUACAAUAUUUGGCUGUUGACCGUGAAAGCACAUAUCCUUAAAGAGCUCUUGAGCAGUGUGGGGCCUUAUAAGAGUAUUAUAAGUAACAAUAUCAGGAACUAAACUUUUAUGAGACAUUUCAUCAAAAAGUUCAUUUGCCUCAUCUAUCCUAUUGCACUUACAAUAUCCAUUAAUCAGGAAGUUGUAGCUAAAAAUGUCCACUAUUCCAUUGGUCACCAUUCAAUCAAAUAGCUCUCUAGCCUUAUCAAUUUGGUUGCAUAGACAAUAUCCAUCCAUCAGUGCAUUAUAAGUGACAAUGCUAGGUUCCACACCUCUUUGAAUCAUUAUCUUGAUCAUAUUCUGAGCAUCUGAACUCAAUCCUUUCUUACAAAGAGUGUCAAUCAAAAUAUUGAAGGUAACCACAACAGGGAUAUGUUCCGCACCACCAUUUCUUUCAACAAGGCCAAAGCUUCCUUCCAUUGGUCUGAAAUGCAAAGGCCAUCAAUUAAGGAGGUGUAGGUGACCACAUUAGGCUCUACACCUCUUUGGAUCAUUACAUUGAAAGUAUUUUGAGCCUCUGAAACCAUUCCAUCCUUACAAAGAGCAUCAAUCAAUAUAUUGAAGGUAUAAGCAUCAGGUGAUACGUUUUGCUCCACCAUUUCAUUCAUCAAGGCCAAAGCUUGGUUCUUUUUGCCUAAUUUGCAAAAACCAUGAAUUAAAAUGUUGUAAGUGAUGACAUUAGGUGAAAUGCCUUCGUUCCUCAUUUGAGAGAAUAGCUCUAAAGCCUCACCAACUAGCUUAUCCUUGCAGAAGGCAUGGAUGAUUCACAACAUUUGGCUCACAACCUCUAUCAGCCAUUCCCUUCAGCAGCCCAAUGGCCACAUCUGUUUUCCCAAAUUUACACAGUUCGCUUACAAUCCCACUGUAAGUAUAAACAUUAGGUUGACAACCUACUGCAACCAUAUCAUCGAAAAAUUCCACUGCUUUAUCGAUUUUACUCCCCAUGCAAAGCCCAUUAAUUAAGGCUGUAAAUGUCACAAUGGUGGGCUCUAAUCCAAGUUUGAUAAUCUUCCCCAAUAGAGAGAAGCCAAAAUCCGGAAGGUGCAAGUGGGAGAAACAAUUAAUUAAGAUGCCAAGAGAAUAAAUAUCGAGUGAGAAUCCUAGCAAUUCAAUUGUUUCAUUUUCACAAGGGCAGAUAAGAAUUUACUAAAUUGAGCCCUAGAAGGCAGAGGACGCAUAUGAAUGACAUGAUUAAAGGAAGCAAUGGCAUCAUCAAGGUGGGUAAAAGAAGCAGAUUCGAAGUUAUUAGUCAAGAAGCGUGCAUCUUGAAGUGCGGAAGUAGAAGAAUGGAAAGAAUUGGUAAAUAAGAACAGGAAUGGAGAAUGAAUGGUACCAAAUGCCCUUUGCAGUUAAAGAUGGAUGCUGGCGCUGCUCCUCCUCCUCCAAGUCCUCCUCCUCAUCAUCAUCAUCAAUCUUUGUUCUCCUCUGCAGCUGAAGGGAGGUGGGUAAGGACGGACACUGAGAAGCAUGCAAAUCUCUUUAAGAGCUUUGGAGCUGCGUAAGAUUCAUCUUGAUGCUAAAUAUUUU
RNAcentral lists this long non-coding RNA (2691 nucleotides) under Manihot esculenta (cassava). Its description in RNAcentral is "long non-coding RNA (MESC_LNC004268)". Lineage: Eukaryota; Viridiplantae; Streptophyta; Magnoliopsida; Malpighiales; Euphorbiaceae. The record is from RNAcentral.